AGAGUUUGAUCCUGGCUCAGAACGAACGCUGGCGGCAGGCUUAACACAUGCAAGUCGAGCGAGACCUUCGGGUCUAGCGGCGGACGGGUGAGUAACGCGUGGGAACGUGCCCUUCUCUACGGAAUAGCCCCGGGAAACUGGGAGUAAUACCGUAUACGCCCUUUGGGGGAAAGAUUUAUCGGAGAAGGAUCGGCCCGCGUUGGAUUAGGUAGUUGGUGGGGUAAUGGCCCACCAAGCCGACGAUCCAUAGCUGGUUUGAGAGGAUGAUCAGCCACACUGGGACUGAGACACGGCCCAGACUCCUACGGGAGGCAGCAGUGGGGAAUCUUAGACAAUGGGGGCAACCCUGAUCUAGCCAUGCCGCGUGAGUGAUGAAGGCCUUAGGGUUGUAAAGCUCUUUCAGCUGGGAAGAUAAUGACGGUACCAGCAGAAGAAGCCCCGGCUAACUCCGUG
Molecule: ribosomal RNA, 453 nt
Filed under: uncultured Paracoccus sp.
Lineage: Bacteria; Pseudomonadati; Pseudomonadota; Alphaproteobacteria; Rhodobacterales; Paracoccaceae
Description: bacterial SSU rRNA
Rfam family: Bacterial small subunit ribosomal RNA
Source: RNAcentral